This 497-nucleotide ribosomal RNA is filed under the name uncultured bacterium. RNAcentral's name for it is "partial 16S ribosomal RNA". It matches the Rfam family "Bacterial small subunit ribosomal RNA", at positions 28 to 507 of the family's 1533-position model. The record is from RNAcentral.
GAUGAACGCUGGCGGCGUGCCUAAUACAUGCAAGUCGAGCGAAUGGACGAGAAGUUUGCUUCUCUGAUGUUAGCGGCGGACGGGUGAGUAACACGUGGAUAACCUAUCUAUAAGACUGGGAUAACUUCGGGAAACCGGAGCUAAUACCGGUUAAUAUUUUGAACCGCAUGGUUCAAAAGUGAAAGACGGUCUUGCUGUCACUUAUAGAUGUAUCCGCGCUGCAUUGGCUAGUUGGUACGGUAACGGCUUACCAAGGCAACGAUGCAUAGCUGACCUGAGAGGGUGAUCGGCCACACUGGAACUGAGACACGGUCCAGACUCCUACGGGAGGCAGCAGUAGGGAAUCUUCCGCAAUAGGCGAAAGCCUGACGGAGCAACGCCGCGUGAGUGAUGAAGGUCUUCGGAUCGUAAAACUCUGUUAUUAGGGAGGAACAUAUGUGUAAGUAACUGUGCACAUCUUGACGUUACCUAAUCAGAAAGCCACGGCUAACUACGUG